GUGGGUAUAGCUCAGUUGGUUAGAGCGCCAGAUUGUGGCUCUGGAGGUCGUGAGUUCGACGCUCAUUAUCCACCCCA
RNAcentral lists this transfer RNA (77 nucleotides) under Clostridioides difficile. Its description in RNAcentral is "tRNA-His". It matches the Rfam family "tRNA". Rfam says of the family: Transfer RNA (tRNA) molecules are approximately 80 nucleotides in length. Their secondary structure includes four short double-helical elements and three loops (D, anti-codon, and T loops). Further hydrogen bonds mediate the characteristic L-shaped molecular structure. tRNAs have two regions of fundamental functional importance: the anti-codon, which is responsible for specific mRNA codon recognition, and the 3' end, to which the tRNAs corresponding amino acid is attached (by aminoacyl-tRNA synthetases). tRNAs cope with the degeneracy of the genetic code in two manners: having more than one tRNA (with a specific anti-codon) for a particular amino acid; and 'wobble' base-pairing, i.e. permitting non-standard base-pairing at the 3rd anti-codon position. Lineage: Bacteria; Bacillati; Bacillota; Clostridia; Peptostreptococcales; Peptostreptococcaceae. The record is from RNAcentral.